UCUGGUUGAUUCUGCCAGUAGUCAUAUGCUUGUCUCAAAGAUUAAGCCAUGCAUGUCUAAGUAUAAGCAAUUGUACGGUGAAACUGCGAAUGGCUCAUUAAAUCAGUUAUCGUUUAUUUGAUAGUACCUUACUACAUGGAUACCUGUGGUAAUUCUAGAGCUAAUACAUGCUGAAAACCUCGACUUCGGAAGGGGUGUAUUUAUUAGAUAAAAAACCAAUGCCCCUCGGGGCUCCUUGGUGAUUCAUAAUAACUUAACGAAUCGCAUGGCCUUGCGCCGGCGAUGGUUCAUUCAAAUUUCUGCCCUAUCAACUUUCGAUGGUAGGAUAGUGGCCUACCAUGGUGGCAACGGGUAACGGGGAAUUAGGGUUCGAUUCCGGAGAGGGAGCCUGAGAAACGGCUACCACAUCCAAGGAAGGCAGCAGGCGCGCAAAUUACCCAAUCCCGACACGGGGAGGUAGUGACAAUAAAUACUGAUACGGGGCUCUUUUGGGUCUCGUAAUUGGAAUGAGAACAAUUUAAAUCCCUUAACGAGGAACAAUUGGAGGGCAAGUCUGGUGCCAGCAGCCGCGGUAAUUCCAGCUCCAAUAGCGUAUAUUAAAGUUGUUGCAGUUAAAAAGCUCGUAGUUGAACCUUGGGUCUGGCUGGCCGGUCCGCCUCACCGCGAGUACUGGUCCGGCUGGACCUUUCCUUCUGGGGAGCCCCAUGGCCUUCACUGGCUGUGGGGGGAACCAGGACUUUUACUGUGAAAAAAUUAGAGUGUUCAAAGCAGGCCUUUGCUCGGAUACAUUAGCAUGGAAUAAUAGAAUAGGACGUGCGGUUCUAUUUUGUUGGUUUCUAGGACCGCCGUAAUGAUUAAUAGGGAUAGUCGGGGGCGUCAGUAUUCAGCUGUCAGAGGUGAAAUUCUUGGAUUUGCUGAAGACUAACUA
This 928-nucleotide ribosomal RNA is filed under the name Aspergillus ochraceoroseus. RNAcentral's name for it is "SSU rRNA". It matches the Rfam family "Eukaryotic small subunit ribosomal RNA", at positions 1 to 942 of the family's 1831-position model. Lineage: Eukaryota; Fungi; Ascomycota; Eurotiomycetes; Eurotiales; Aspergillaceae. The record is from RNAcentral.